RNA transcript from Neltuma alba, 1989 nucleotides. It is a transcript of the gene named putative RING-type E3 ubiquitin transferase C3H69, with no coding region annotated. NCBI's taxonomy places the organism in Eukaryota, Viridiplantae, Streptophyta, Magnoliopsida, Fabales, Fabaceae. The record is from RefSeq and is a predicted model, not a curated record. The transcript has 7 exons.
UCUGCGACUUGCAGUCACUGAGGCUGUUUUAUGCUCACCGUCCAAAUCUCUGAGCGCAAAUCUAUCUUUUCUCAUAAUUAUAAUUUUUCUAUUUCCUUAUCCUUCGCCCCCUACACCGCCCUCCUUCAGGCGGGACUCCAAUCAUACUUCACAGAGAUUUCUGGAUUUUGAUUCUUCUUUCUUGUUUUUUAUUUCAAAACAACAAUAAUUUAUUCGAGGUUUAGGGUUUUGAUCCUCCCGCCUCUCUCGAUUAAUUUAACGGAUUUUCAAAUCCCACCAUGUCUAAGAGGGUUCUUUGCAAAUUCUUUGCCCAUGGAGCAUGUUUGAAGGGGGAGCAUUGUGAAUUUUCUCAUGACUGGAAAGAUCCUCCAAACAACAUAUGUACGUUUUAUCAGAAAGGAGCCUGUGCCUAUGGCAGUCGCUGCAGAUAUGACCAUGUCAAAGCUUCCCGUGAACAGUCCUAUCAUCCAUCUUCUUCUGCCAGUGUACACCCCCUAAAUUCAGAUUCUUCUAUAGUUGGUAGUACUAGAGUUGCAUCAAAUGGGGCUGCUACAAUUCCUGAAUUGACUACUCGUAGUGGACCUUCCUUUCCUAUUAUUCCUGCAUGGAAUGGAGAAUCUGAGCCUCAUAUUCCUGAUUAUUUUCAAGCUUGGAAUCCAGAACCUGGGCAUCAGGAUUUUUUAGAGGAUAGUGAUGUCAGUGAAUCCAGAAUUAAUGAUCCUUCUGAGCGUCCUAUCUGUUCUUUUGCUGCUGCUGGUAAUUGUCCUAGGAAGGAGAAAUGCCCUUUUAUUCACGGAGAUUUGUGUCCUACCUGUGGAAAGCACUGCUUACAUCCUUUUCGACCUGAAGAAAGAGAGGAACAUACGAAUGCUUGCCAAAAAAAGCAAAAGCAUCUUGAGGCUUUGAAACGAAGUCAAGAAAUUGAAUGCAGUGUUUGCCUUGAGCGUGUUCUUUCCAAGCCCACUGCAGCUGAACGCAAGUUUGGGCUGCUCUCUGAGUGUGAUCAUCCCUUCUGCAUAUCUUGUAUUAGGAAUUGGCGUAAUAGUAACCCAACUCUGGGAAUGGACGUGAAUACCACAUUGAGGGCCUGUCCAAUUUGUCGUAAGCUCUCUUACUUUGUGAUUCCAAGUGUCAUUUGGUACUCUACAACGGAAGAAAAACAGGAAAUCAUCGACAGCUACAAGGAAAAGCUCAAAUCAAUUGAUUGCAAGCAUUUUGACUUUGGGAAUGGAAACUGCCCUUUUGGUACUAGCUGUUUUUACAAGCAUGCUUACCGAGAUGGCAGACUUGAGCAAGUAGUUCUGAGGCAUCUUGGGGCUGCAGAUGGCAACACUGUGAUUGCUAAAGACGUCAGGUUUGCUUUUCCAUUUUAUUACUUAUUUUAUCUUCUGCUCUGCUCCGUUUGACCUGUCCUCUCUUCCUAUAACUUGUUUAAUGCAAAAAAUUUUACUAACUGAAACAUGGGGCGAACAGGCUAUCAGAUUUCCUUUCUAACAUGCAUUUAAGAUGAAGGGUGAUGCUCAUACGUUCUCAUGAUACUUGUAUAAAGAAAAACGGAUAAGCUUCAAUGUCAAAGUUCCUUUUUAUUCAAGUCAAGCUCUUCUUGUUUUCAUGAAGUAUCAGUAUGAGGGAAAUGGCGAAACCAGCGCAUUGUGUGGGCAGCGUAAUAAAGUGCACCAGUGUAUGAUUAUGAACGGAAGGACGUAUAUGACGACUGUAAUCUCAAUAAGCUCUCUAAAGAAAGCGGCAUCAUACAGAACUGCAAGUGUGUAUUUUUGAUGAUGGUGUCAUGAACUUCAUGUGUCCACAUUCCUUGUUUAAGCCCUCAGCGAGUGUGAAUUGAGAAAAUAAGCACUUUGAUGGCCCAUAUAUUGAUUAUGUGAAUUGUGAAAUAACUGAUUUGGGUGAUGAAUGAAGUUCUGCAGUUAUGAGCAUCAUUUACGUACCUUCUUUUUAUGUUGGAAGAAAUUCAGGUGCUCAUUUAUACCU